RNAcentral lists this unclassified non-coding RNA (200 nucleotides) under Hevea brasiliensis (rubber tree). The record is from RNAcentral. Lineage: Eukaryota; Viridiplantae; Streptophyta; Magnoliopsida; Malpighiales; Euphorbiaceae.
CCGAUAUAGCCGAUGCCCCGCGUCAUCCUAUCAGACGGAAGCGGCCCGGGUCGAAUCCCGGACCACUUAUCCUGUCGUGAAAGCCGCCUUAGUUGGUCUUGGCGUUGGCUUCCUUCUGGAACGCCGCGAUCAGAUCCNNCAUGUCCUGAGUCACCGGCUCGAGGGCCUUCAUCCACUCGGCGCGCUCCGCGGGUGUCAGU